UUAAUUGAAGAGUUUGAUCAUGGCUCAGAUUGAACGCUGGCGGCAGGCCUAACACAUGCAAGUCGAGCGGCAGCGGGAAGUAGCUUGCUACUUUGCCGGCGAGCGGCGGACGGGUGAGUAAUGUCUGGGAAACUGCCUGAUGGAGGGGGAUAACUACUGGAAACGGUAGCUAAUACCGCAUGACCUCGCAAGAGCAAAGU
RNAcentral lists this ribosomal RNA (200 nucleotides) under Rouxiella aceris. Its description in RNAcentral is "Rahnella sp. SAP-1 partial 16S ribosomal RNA". It matches the Rfam family "Bacterial small subunit ribosomal RNA", at positions 1 to 207 of the family's 1533-position model. Lineage: Bacteria; Pseudomonadati; Pseudomonadota; Gammaproteobacteria; Enterobacterales; Yersiniaceae. The record is from RNAcentral.